UACAGAGGUCUCAACCGUUGUUCGGAUUCAUUGGGCGUAAAGGGUGCGUAGGCGGCCCUGCAAGUCGGAUGUGAAAUCUCAGGGCUCAACCCUGAAACUGCAUUCGAUACUGCGGGGCUAGAGUGCUGGAGAGGAGACUGGAAUUUACGGUGUAGCGGUGAAAUGCGUAGAUAUCGUAAGGAAGACCAGUGGCGAAGGCGAGUCUCUGGACAGCAACUGACGCUGAGGCACGAAGGCCAGGGGAGCAAACGGG
RNAcentral lists this ribosomal RNA (253 nucleotides) under uncultured bacterium. RNAcentral describes it as "partial 16S ribosomal RNA". It matches the Rfam family "Bacterial small subunit ribosomal RNA", at positions 524 to 776 of the family's 1533-position model. The record is from RNAcentral.